RNAcentral lists this ribosomal RNA (141 nucleotides) under uncultured eukaryote. Its description in RNAcentral is "partial 18S ribosomal RNA". It matches the Rfam family "Eukaryotic small subunit ribosomal RNA", at positions 1299 to 1458 of the family's 1831-position model. The record is from RNAcentral.
UGGUGGAGUGAUUUGUCUGGUUAAUUCCGUUAACGAACGAGACCCCCGCCUGCUAAAUAGUUGAGGGAAUGUUUUUUCAUUCCCUGCAGCUUCUUAGAGGGACUUUUGGUGACUAACCAAAGGAAGUUGGGGGCAAUAACA